This 2900-nucleotide ribosomal RNA is filed under the name human gut metagenome. Its description in RNAcentral is "bacterial LSU rRNA". It matches the Rfam family "Bacterial large subunit ribosomal RNA". The record is from RNAcentral.
UUAAGCGACUAAGCGUACACGGUGGAUGCCCUGGCAGUCAGAGGCGAUGAAGGACGUGCUAAUCUGCGAAAAGCGUCGGUAAGGUGAUAUGAACCGUUACAGCCGGCGAUGUCCGAAUGGGGAAACCCAGUGCAAUUCGUUGCACUAUCGUUAACUGAAUACAUAGGUUAACGAGGCGAACCGGGGGAACUGAAACAUCUAAGUACCCCGAGGAAGAGAAAUCAACCGAGAUUCCCCCAGUAGCGGCGAGCGAACGGGGAUCAGCCCAGAGUCUGAAUCAGCUUGUGUGUUAGUGGAACGGUCUGGAAAGUCCGACGGUACAGGGUGAUAGUCCCGUACACCAAAAUGCACAGGCUGUGAACUCGAAGAGUAGGGCGGGACACGUGGUAUCCUGUCUGAAUAUGGGGGGACCAUCCUCCAAGGCUAAAUACUCCUGACUGACCGAUAGUGAACCAGUACCGUGAGGGAAAGGCGAAAAGAACCCCGGCGAGGGGAGUGAAAAAGAACCUGAAACCGUGUACGUACAAGCAGUGGGAGCACCUUCGGGUGUGACUGCGUACCUUUUGUAUAAUGGGUCAGCGACUUAUAUUCUGUAGCAAGGUUAACCGUAUAGGGGAGCCGCAGGGAAACCGAGUCUUAACUGGGCGUUAAGUUGCAGGGUAUAGACCCGAAACCCGGUGAUCUAGCCAUGGGCAGGUUGAAGGUUGGGUAACACUAACUGGAGGACCGAACCGACUAAUGUUGAAAAAUUAGCGGAUGACUUGUGGCUGGGGGUGAAAGGCCAAUCAAACCGGGAGAUAGCUGGUUCUCCCCGAAAGCUAUUUAGGUAGCGCCUCGUGAACUCAUCUCCGGGGGUAGAGCACUGUUUCGGCAAGGGGGUCAUCCCGACUUACCAACCCGAUGCAAACUGCGAAUACCGGAGAAUGUUAUCACGGGAGACACACGGCGGGUGCUAACGUCCGUCGUGAAGAGGGAAACAACCCAGACCGCCAGCUAAGGUCCCAAAGUCAUGGUUAAGUGGGAAACGAUGUGGGAAGGCCCAGACAGCCAGGAUGUUGGCUUAGAAGCAGCCAUCAUUUAAAGAAAGCGUAAUAGCUCACUGGUCGAGUCGGCCUGCGCGGAAGAUGUAACGGGGCUAAACCAUGCACCGAAGCUGCGGCAGCGACACUAUGUGUUGUUGGGUAGGGGAGCGUUCUGUAAGCCUGCGAAGGUGACCUGUGAGGGUUGCUGGAGGUAUCAGAAGUGCGAAUGCUGACAUGAGUAACGAUAAAGCGGGUGAAAAGCCCGCUCGCCGGAAGACCAAGGGUUCCUGUCCAACGUUAAUCGGGGCAGGGUGAGUCGACCCCUAAGGCGAGGCCGAAAGGCGUAGUCGAUGGGAAACAGGUUAAUAUUCCUGUACUUGGUGUUACUGCGAAGGGGGGACGGAGAAGGCUAUGUUAGCCGGGCGACGGUUGUCCCGGUUUAAGCAUGUAGGCUGGUUGUCCAGGCAAAUCCGGAUAAUCAAGGCUGAGGUGUGAUGACGAGGCACUACGGUGCUGAAGUAACAAAUGCCCUGCUUCCAGGAAAAGCCUCUAAGCAUCAGGUAACAUUAAAUCGUACCCCAAACCGACACAGGUGGUCAGGUAGAGAAUACCAAGGCGCUUGAGAGAACUCGGGUGAAGGAACUAGGCAAAAUGGUGCCGUAACUUCGGGAGAAGGCACGCUGGUGUGUAGGUGAAGUCCCUGCGGAUGGAGCUGAGACCAGUCGAAGAUACCAGCUGGCUGCAACUGUUUAUUAAAAACACAGCACUGUGCAAACACGAAAGUGGACGUAUACGGUGUGACGCCUGCCCGGUGCCGGAAGGUUAAUUGAUGGGGUUAUCCGUAAGGAGAAGCUCUUGAUCGAAGCCCCGGUAAACGGCGGCCGUAACUAUAACGGUCCUAAGGUAGCGAAAUUCCUUGUCGGGUAAGUUCCGACCUGCACGAAUGGCGUAAUGAUGGCCAGGCUGUCUCCACCCGAGACUCAGUGAAAUUGAACUCGCUGUGAAGAUGCAGUGUACCCGCGGCAAGACGGAAAGACCCCGUGAACCUUUACUAUAGCUUGACACUGAACAUUGAGCCUUGAUGUGUAGGAUAGGUGGGAGGCUUUGAAGCGUGGACGCCAGUCUGCGUGGAGCCAACCUUGAAAUACCACCCUUUAAUGUUUGAUGUUCUAACGUUGGCCCCUUAUCGGGGUUGCGGACAGUGUCUGGUGGGUAGUUUGACUGGGGCGGUCUCCUCCCAAAGCGUAACGGAGGAGCACGAAGGUUAGCUAAUCCUGGUCGGACAUCAGGAGGUUAGUGCAAUGGCAUAAGCUAGCUUGACUGCGAGCGUGACGGCGCGAGCAGGUGCGAAAGCAGGUCAUAGUGAUCCGGUGGUUCUGAAUGGAAGGGCCAUCGCUCAACGGAUAAAAGGUACUCCGGGGAUAACAGGCUGAUACCGCCCAAGAGUUCAUAUCGACGGCGGUGUUUGGCACCUCGAUGUCGGCUCAUCACAUCCUGGGGCUGAAGUAGGUCCCAAGGGUAUGGCUGUUCGCCAUUUAAAGUGGUACGCGAGCUGGGUUUAGAACGUCGUGAGACAGUUCGGUCCCUAUCUGCCGUGGGCGCUGGAGAAUUGAGGGGGGCUGCUCCUAGUACGAGAGGACCGGAGUGGACGCAUCACUGGUGUUCGGGUUGUCAUGCCAAUGGCACUGCCCGGUAGCUAAAUGCGGAAGAGAUAAGUGCUGAAAGCAUCUAAGCACGAAACUUGCCCCGAGAUGAGUUCUCCCUGAGACUUUAAGUCUCCUGAAGGAACGUUAAAGACGAUGACGUUGAUAGGCCGGGUGUGUAAGCGCAGCGAUGCGUUGAGCUAACCGGUACUAAUGAACCGUGAGGCUUAACCUU